GACGAACGCUGGCGGCGUGCUUAACACAUGCAAGUCGAACGGAAAGGCCCUGCUUUUGUGGGGUGCUCGAGUUGCGAACGGGUGAGUAACACGUGAGUAACCUGCCCUUGACUUUGGGAUAACUUCAUGAAACUGGGGCUAAUACCGGAUAGGAGCUCCUGCUGCAUGGUGGGGGUUGGAAAGUUUCGGGGGUUGGGGCUGGACUCGCGUGGGAUUAGCUUGUUGGUAGGGUAGUGGCUUACCAAGGCGUUGAAGGGUAGCUGGGCGGAGAGGGGGACCGGGCGGACUGGGAAUGAGACACGGCCCAGACUGGGACGGGAGGGGGGAGAUGGGAAAAUAGGGGAAUGAGCGAAAGCCUGAUCCAGCCGUGCCGGGGGAGAGAUGAAGGGCUUAGGGUAGUAAAGCGCUUUUACACGGGAGGAUAAUGACAGUACCGGGAAAAUAAGCCCCGGCUAACUCCGUG
This 463-nucleotide ribosomal RNA is filed under the name uncultured bacterium. Its description in RNAcentral is "partial 16S ribosomal RNA". It matches the Rfam family "Bacterial small subunit ribosomal RNA", at positions 28 to 507 of the family's 1533-position model. The record is from RNAcentral.